GACGAACGCUGGCGGCGUGCUUAACACAUGCAAGUCGAGCGGUGCGGCGAACGGGUGAGUAACGCGUGAGUAACUGCCCCCCUCCCUGGGACAACAGUUGGAAACGGCUGCUAAUCCCGGACAGUGGGGGAUGAAUCGCGUCCUGCCGGCGUGGUGGCGGGGUAAUGGCCUACCAAGGCGACGCCGGGUAGCCGGCCUGGGUGGGCGACGGGCCACAUUGGGCUGGGAUACGGCCCGAACUCCUACGGGGGGCAGCAGUGGGGGAUAUUGCACAAUGGGGGAACCUCUGAUGCAGCCACGCCGCGGGCGUGAUGACGGACUUCGGGUUGUAAACCGCUUUCAGCCAUGACGCGGUAGUGGCAGAAGAAGCACCGGCUAACUACGUGCCAGCAGCCGCGGUAAUAC
Molecule: ribosomal RNA, 405 nt
Filed under: uncultured bacterium
Lineage: Bacteria
Description: partial 16S ribosomal RNA
Rfam family: Bacterial small subunit ribosomal RNA
Source: RNAcentral